Molecule: ribosomal RNA, 207 nt
Filed under: uncultured bacterium
Lineage: Bacteria
Description: partial 16S ribosomal RNA
Rfam family: Bacterial small subunit ribosomal RNA
Source: RNAcentral
UGCGUAGGCGGGCCGGUCAGUCGGGUGUGAAAACUCACGGCUUAACCGUGGGCUUGCAUUCGAAACUGCCGGUCUCGAGUACGGGAGAGGGAAGUGGAAUUCCUGGUGUAGCGGUGAAAUGCGUAGAUAUCAGGAGGAACACCGGUGGCGAAGGCGGCUUCCUGGACCGAUACUGACGCUGAGGCACGAAGGCCGGGGGAGCAAACA